CUCCAACUCCUGAUUUCAGGUGAUCCACCCCCAUUGGCCUCCCAAAGUGCUGGGAUUACAGGCGUGAGCCACUGACUUUGCUUUUGUAUGAAACACAAAUCUGAUUUCCCCUGUGUGACAUGGAACACUUGAGCUUUUCACCCCAUUAACAGUGAGUAAAAAGGGAGAUUCUUUUUAAUUUCAGAAACAGCCUAAACAAAGCAGCUGCAUUAACUGCCUCAGAGGGUAGAGAUCAUUUUGUUCCUAUUCUGGAACACAGACUCAAUACUUUGUGUCAUGUGAAGGGUCCUCAGGUACCUCCCAUUGCCUUGAGUAGAAAGUGGGGCGGAGGUGGGGUAGAGGAGAUCUCUCCAGGGGAGAGAACUGCUUGUCUUGCAAGAGAACAAAAGGUACAGGGCUCUCUUUGAAAUAUGCACUUCCAGGUCCAGGGUUUAUGCUGCUAUGCACAAAGAUUGAUCAAGUACUUCAAAAUGAGUUGAAUGAGUUGAAUCCCUACCCCCAAAAGAUAUGAAGUCUUAACCCCUGGUACGUGUGGUUGUGACUUAUUUGGAAAUAGGAUCUUUGCAGAUAUAAACAAGUUAAGAUGAGGUCAGUAGGAUGGACUCUAAUCUAGUACAAUUGAUAUCCUUAUAGGAAGAGGGAAGUUUGGACACAGACACACACAGACAAGAGAAUACCAUGUGACAAAGGCAGAGAUUGGAAUGAUACAGCUGCAAGCCAGGGAUGCCAAGGAUUGCAGGUGAAGAGUCAAGGAAGGAUUCUACCCAGAGUUGCACGGCCUUAUUGACACCUUGAUUUGGGCUUCUAGACUCCAGAAUCAUGACAGAAUAAAUUUAUCUGUGUGGAUGUGUGUGUGUGUGUGUGUGUGUGUGUGUGUGUGUGUGUUUUCCUAAAAAAGAGACAAGGUCUCAUUCUAUCCCCCAGGAUGGAGUGCAGUGUCAUGAUCAUAGCUCACUGCAGCCUCGAUCUCCUGGACUCAAAGCAUCUUCCCACCCCAGCCUCCCAGGAAUCUGGGACUACAGGUGUGAACCACUGUGCCGGCUCUGUUGAUUUAAGCCACCGAGUUUGUGGAACUUUGUUAUGGCAGUUCUAGAAAAUGAAUAUAAUAAUUAAAAUGAAAGUUUUGCUAACUGCUACCUUUACCUUUACCAUGUGCAAUUUUAUUUUAUUCUUUUUUUAAGCUUCUUAUAACUCAGUUCACUGGUUUCAUAAUCUACUAAUGGGUUGUAAUCCAAAGUGUGAAUAAUAUACCAG
Molecule: long non-coding RNA, 1254 nt
Filed under: Homo sapiens (human)
Lineage: Eukaryota; Metazoa; Chordata; Mammalia; Primates; Hominidae
Description: HSALNT0368771
Source: RNAcentral